This 253-nucleotide ribosomal RNA is filed under the name uncultured bacterium. RNAcentral describes it as "partial 16S ribosomal RNA". It matches the Rfam family "Bacterial small subunit ribosomal RNA", at positions 524 to 776 of the family's 1533-position model. The record is from RNAcentral.
UACGGAGGGGGCUAGCGUUGUUCGGAAUUACUGGGCGUAAAGCGCACGUAGGCGGCUUUGUAAGUUAGAGGUGAAAGCCCAGGGCUCAACCCUGGAAUUGCCUUUAAGACUGCAUCGCUUGAACAUCGGAGAGGUAAGUGGAAUUCCGAGUGUAGAGGUGAAAUUCGUAGAUAUUCGGAAGAACACCAGUGGCGAAGGCGACUUACUGGACGAUUGUUGACGCUGAGGCACGAAAGCGUGGGGAUCAAACAGG